AGGGAAAGAGCCACAGGGGUGGGAAGAUAGCCAAGGGACCGGAGGGAAGCCAAGUUCCUUCAGACAGCCCAGAGUAGGCUGUGGCCUCCUGAGCCUUCUGCUCCACUGUCGGUGUUUACUUUAUCUCUCUAACACUAGGAGAGCGAACGCUCUGCCCGUCACCGUCCCUGCUGUGUCCUGAGUGCUAGAAGCCAGCCAGGAACCACGCCUAGAACACUCCAAAGGUACUAUUUUAACGCUGUUUCACAAGUCAAGAAACCAAGAUCAGCUACAGAGCUUGAGGGACUCGGAGCAAAAUGAAGACGACAAAUGGAAAUUAUGAGGAAUAUCAAGAUGAUGAGAGCAGAGCAUUGCACCAGGCACAAUCACAUAGGACCCAUGAAACGGGCCCUGGAGGAAACCAAGG
Molecule: long non-coding RNA, 406 nt
Organism: Prionailurus viverrinus (fishing cat)
Lineage: Eukaryota; Metazoa; Chordata; Mammalia; Carnivora; Felidae
Exons: 3
Source: RefSeq, a predicted model, not a curated record